Molecule: long non-coding RNA, 668 nt
Organism: Gadus macrocephalus (Pacific cod)
Lineage: Eukaryota; Metazoa; Chordata; Actinopteri; Gadiformes; Gadidae
Exons: 2
Source: RefSeq, a predicted model, not a curated record
CGCUUCUUUUGUCUUAUUUAACGUGUUUCUUUUUUUCUUCAAAACGUAUUCAUGGUGAGGUUGUCGCGGUUUGUUUGUCGCACUUUAUGGUGCGUUCACAUCACUGGAAAUUAUGUUAAAAAAACAUUUUUUCGACGUCGGAAAGUUCGCGUGAACGCCACCUCAUGACGCUGUUAUGAUUCUACUUCCGUUCGGCAACUCGGACCAAAUUAUGAUAACAGAGUUGCCCAGUUGGGGACGUAUGGUUUACUAGUGACGCGCAUGAACAUGGCGGAACAUGAACGUUUUACUCAAUAUAAAAGAAUCAACCAUCAUAUCACAUACUUUACUACUAUGGAUUGACGUUGUAACGUCUGUUGGCAUGAUUUUGCUCAGUUUUAAACGUUGUGUACUGGUGAACCAGCUCUAGAUAAGGGCAAGUGUUGCCUUCCAUAUAGUGGCUAUGCUGUAUGUGUUUCUCAUAAAUAAAAGCAAAAGGAUAGGUGGUGAUGGGCAUCAAGGAAAUAAAGGCAUGCAAACCUGAAACUGAUCCUACUAAGUUCUGUUAAAGGCACCCAUUUUUUUUAUCUUAUAAAAAAAACAUGCUGUGAAAACUUUAAGAUUCCCAACCGGCUGUUUCCCCAGUGCACAUGAACGAUCGCUGUCGGGAACACGCGUAAAGGCCUGAU